AUACGGAAGGUGCGAGCGUUAUCCGGAUUCAUUGGGUUUAAAGGGAGCGUAGGCGGAGCGCCAAGUCAGCUGUGAAAUCCCGCGGCUCAACCGUGGAACUGCAGUUGAAACUGGCGCCCUUGAGUGCACAUGAGGAUGGCGGAAUUCGUGGUGUAGCGGUGAAAUGCUUAGAUAUCACGAAGAACCCCGAUUGCGAAGGCAGCUGUCUGGGGCGCCACUGACGCUGAGGCUCGAAAGUGCGGGUAUCAAACAGGAUUAGAUACCCUGGUAGUCCGCACAGUAAACGAUGGACACUCGUGGUCGGCGACACACUGCCGGUCACCAAGCGAAAGCGAUAAGUGUCCCACCUGGGGAGUACGCCGGCAACGGUGAAACUCAAAUGAAUUGACGGGG
RNAcentral lists this ribosomal RNA (393 nucleotides) under uncultured bacterium. RNAcentral describes it as "partial 16S ribosomal RNA". It matches the Rfam family "Bacterial small subunit ribosomal RNA", at positions 523 to 918 of the family's 1533-position model. The record is from RNAcentral.